CACUCACAUGGGUCUCUUGUACUAGUAGAUAACGGUAUUAUGUCCCUUGUACCGUUCCAUCCUUUGACCCUUGGAGAUGGUAUCUGCAGAUACUUCUUGUUCCGGUAACAUUAACCUUCUUAUGGUAACAUUCUCAAGGAGAAAGAUCGUGUACCGGAUAUUCAAAUUAUAUAUUUAACUUAACAAAAUCAGCUUGGCAAAGAUCGUGUACCUCCUUCAAAAGGCAGAAGGUGCAGGCUUAGCCCCAUUUGGUUGUUGGCUUUGUUUAAAAGGGAUUAAAACGAUGGUGUUGUAUGUAGAAAGCAACAGCGUCUAGCUCUCAAGAGGUCGGUUGACAUAAGCAUUGAGUCAUUACUCCUUUUUCAGAGCAAGUUCUUUAAAUUGAUUUUCUACCAAAUGUUUAGUAAUCAGGCUAGACUUGGAAACCUCCUUCCAGGUACACAAUUAUCUGUGCGUGGUGAGGUAUUAGCUGACAGAACUGAUUUACGGAUAAAGUUCCAUGGUACUGAAGUCAUCUUGGGUCUAUAAUGUUCGGUGAUAUUUUGAUGCGGCAAUUGGAUAUGAACACCGGGGAAGAGAUGUAACAGACUGAUUUCAUCCUCGUUUUUUCAAUUGUGAUAAGUCAUCCCAUAGACUUCCAUACAUUGUUUUCCCCUGGCUUCUGGAUUGCUCUUCUUCAAAAUCAUGCCAUUAUUGAGACUGAAGAAUUUUUUACAUGUUCUAUCAUCAUCUUCCCCAGCUAGCAUUAGCCAUGGAACCCAAGGUAAAUUGCUGUUAAAAUUGUUCUUGGUGGCAUAGAGUGCCAGGAUUUGCAAACAGUGCGAAAAUUAAGGAAAUACCUAAUUUAUGUGAAUGUAACUCCCCAUGACGAGAUGGAGAAGCACACAAUGGGCUCUUCAUCAACCAACUUUUCAGCGUUGAGACAGGUGGAGCUCCCAUGAACACCGAGAAAAAGCACAUUGUGAGGACCGGGGGCUUUUGGUGUGAUGGAUAAAGAAAAGUAA
Molecule: long non-coding RNA, 1004 nt
Organism: Solanum dulcamara
Lineage: Eukaryota; Viridiplantae; Streptophyta; Magnoliopsida; Solanales; Solanaceae
Exons: 5
Source: RefSeq, a predicted model, not a curated record